ACGAACGCUGGCGGCAUGCCUAACCCAUGCAAGUCGCACGAGACCUUCGGGUCUAGUGGCGCACGGGUGCGUAACGCGUGGGAACCUGCCCUUAGGUUCGGAAUAACUCCCCGAAAGGGGUGCUAAUACCGGAUAAUGUCUUCGGACCAAAGAUUUAUCGCCUUUGGAUGGGCCCGCGUUGGAUUAGCUAGUUGGUAGGGUAAAAGCCUACCAAGGCGACGAUCCAUAGCUGGUCUGAGAGGAUGAUCAGCCACACUGGGACUGAGACACGGCCCAGACUCCUACGGGAGGCAGCAGUGGGGAAUAUUGGACAAUGGGCGAAAGCCUGAUCCAGCAAUGCCGCGUGAGUGAUGAAGGCCUUAGGGUUGUAAAGCUCUUUUACCCGGGAUGAUAAUGACAGUACCGGGAGAAUAAGCUCCGGCUAACUCCGUG
RNAcentral lists this ribosomal RNA (432 nucleotides) under uncultured bacterium. Its description in RNAcentral is "partial 16S ribosomal RNA". It matches the Rfam family "Bacterial small subunit ribosomal RNA", at positions 29 to 507 of the family's 1533-position model. The record is from RNAcentral.